CCUACGGGUGGCAGCAGUUAGGAAUAUUGGUCAAUGGGCGCUAGCCUGAACCAGCCAAGUCGCGUGAGGGAUGACUGCCCUAUGGGUUGUAAACUUCUUUUGUAUGGGAGUAAAGUUCAUUAUGUAUACUGCUUUGCAUGUACCUUAUGAAUAAGGAUCGGCUAACUCCGGUCCAGCAGCCGCGGUAAUCCGGAGGAUCGGAGCGUUAUCCGGAUUUGUUGGGUUUAAAGGGAGCGUAGGCGGGUUGUUAAGUCAGUUGUGAAAGUUGGCGGCUCAACCGUAGAAUUGCAGUUGAUACUGGCAUCCUUGAGUACAGUAGAGGUAGGCGGAAUUCGUGGUGUAGCGGUGAAAUGCUUAGAUAUCACGAAGAACCCCGAUUGCGAAGGCAGCCUGCUGGACUGUAACUGACGCUGAUGCUCGAAAGUGUGGGUAUCAAACAGGAUUAGAUACCCGAGUAGUC
RNAcentral lists this ribosomal RNA (460 nucleotides) under uncultured bacterium. Its description in RNAcentral is "partial 16S ribosomal RNA". It matches the Rfam family "Bacterial small subunit ribosomal RNA", at positions 338 to 795 of the family's 1533-position model. The record is from RNAcentral.